CGGUGGAGCAUGUGGUUUAAUUCGAAGCAACGCGAAGAACCUUACCAGGCCUUGACAUGCAGAGAACUUUCCAGAGAUGGAUUGGUGCCUUCGGGAACUCUGACACAGGUGCUGCAUGGCUGUCGUCAGCUCGUGUCGUGAGAUGUUGGGUUAAGUCCCGUAACGAGCGCAACCCUUGUCCUUAGUUACCAGCACGUUAUGGUGGGCACUCUAAGGAGACUGCCGGUGACAAACCGGAGGAAGGUGGGGAUGACGUCAAGUCGUCAUGGCCCUUACGGCCUGGGCUACACACGUGCUACAAUGGUCGGUACAAAGGGUUGCCAAGCCGCGAGGUGGAGCUAAUCCCAUAAAACCGAUCGUAGUCCGGAUCGCAGUCUGCAACUCGACUGCGUGAAGUCGGAAUCGCUAGUAAUCGUGAAUCAGAAUGUCACGGUGAAUACGUUCCCGGGCCUU
This 453-nucleotide ribosomal RNA is filed under the name uncultured Pseudomonas sp. RNAcentral describes it as "bacterial SSU rRNA". It matches the Rfam family "Bacterial small subunit ribosomal RNA", at positions 930 to 1382 of the family's 1533-position model. Lineage: Bacteria; Pseudomonadati; Pseudomonadota; Gammaproteobacteria; Pseudomonadales; Pseudomonadaceae. The record is from RNAcentral.